UACGUACCGGACGAACGUUAUUCGGAAUCACUGGGCUUAAAGAGUGCGUAGGCGGCUCUGCAGGUGAGGUGUGAAAUCCCACGGCUCAACCGUGGAAUUGCGCUUCAAACCGUAGAGCUUGAGGGAGACAGGGGUGAGUGGAACUGAUGGUGGAGCGGUGAAAUGCGUUGAUAUCAUCAGGAACACCAGUGGCGAAGGCGACUCACUGGGUCUCUUCUGACGCUGAGGCACGAAAGCUAGGGGAGCAAACGGG
RNAcentral lists this ribosomal RNA (253 nucleotides) under uncultured bacterium. RNAcentral's name for it is "partial 16S ribosomal RNA". It matches the Rfam family "Bacterial small subunit ribosomal RNA", at positions 524 to 776 of the family's 1533-position model. The record is from RNAcentral.